RNAcentral lists this ribosomal RNA (327 nucleotides) under uncultured eukaryote. Its description in RNAcentral is "partial 18S ribosomal RNA". It matches the Rfam family "Eukaryotic small subunit ribosomal RNA", at positions 1470 to 1796 of the family's 1831-position model. The record is from RNAcentral.
CCCCUAGAUGUUCUGGGCCACACACGCGCUACACUGAAGGAGGCAGCGUGUACUCCUGGAUCGAAAGAUUUGGGUAACCCGCGAAUCUCCUUCGUGCUAGGGAUUGAGGUUUGCAAUUAUCCUUCAUGAACGAGGAAUUCCCAGUAAGUGCAAGUCAUAAGCUUGCGCUGACUACGUCCCUGCCCUUUGUACACACCGCCCGUCGCUACUACCGAUUGAAUGAUUUAGUGAGGACUUCGGACUGGGACCAAUGCGGCUUUCGGGCUGCGUCGGUAUUCUGGAAAGAUGUCCAAACUGUAUCAUUUAGAGGAAGGAGAAGUCGUAACA